This is a non-coding RNA of Chelonoidis abingdonii (Abingdon island giant tortoise), 484 nucleotides long. The record is from RefSeq and is a predicted model, not a curated record. NCBI's taxonomy places the organism in Eukaryota, Metazoa, Chordata, Testudines, Testudinidae.
UCCAACACAAUAUUAAUGUUCAACAGAUCAAGACUUUUGAAAUGAUACCUCACCAGGCAGACUUUGUACAAUCCAUGUCAUCAUUAUAUGAGAGUGGUGAAUAUGGGGCUUCCAGAGUGCUGCUUUGAGCACAGGGUGCCACACCUGGACUUCCAUUGCAAUGGAGACGUACCCUUAGAGUCCAUCUCUCCUGGGAUAAAGAUGGCAGCAGGGUCGGCCUGGGUCAUCUGACUUGGGCUCAUGGAGCUAAAGCUGAGGAGCUAAAAGCUGUAGUGCAGAUAUUUGUGUUCACACUGAAGCCUGGGUUCAGAAACCCUCACCCCUGCUGGGGUCUCAGAGGUUGGGUUCAAGUCCAUAUGUCUGCCCUGUAAUUUUAUAAAGGUAGGGAGGGAGUUUAGCAAGUGGAAAUGGUAAAACUGCAGUGAAGUAUUAUCCUGGACUCAUGGUAUUUCUCCAUUGGUCUGUCUGCUUUGGGGCAGGGACA